This 1453-nucleotide ribosomal RNA is filed under the name metagenome. RNAcentral's name for it is "bacterial LSU rRNA". It matches the Rfam family "Bacterial large subunit ribosomal RNA", at positions 1402 to 2848 of the family's 2925-position model. The record is from RNAcentral.
CCUUCGGGCUGGUGUGGUGGAGCACGUGACCCUAUCCGGUAGUAGGUAAGCUAUGGGGUGACGCAAGAAGGUAGUCCAGCCCGGGCGAUGGUAGACCCGGGGUAAGGGUGUAGGGCGGACCGUAGGUAAAUCCGCGGUCCAUGUGCCUGAGACCUGAUGCCGAGGCGAUUACGCCGAAGUGGAUGAUCCUAUGCUGCCUAGAAAAGCCUCUAUGCGAGGUUCGAGCCGCCCGUACCCUAAACCGACUCAGGUGGUCAGGUAGAGAAUACCAAGGCGAUCGAGUGAAUCGUGGUUAAGGAACUCGGCAAAAUGCCCCCGUAACUUCGGGAGAAGGGGGGCCUGAGGGGUGAUGGCACUUGCUGCCUGAGCUCUUGAAGGCCGCAGAGACCAGGGAGAAGCGACUGUUUACUAAAAACACAGGUCCGUGCGAAGUCGCAAGACGAUGUAUACGGACUGACGCCUGCCCGGUGCUGGAACGUUAAGGGGACGGGUUAGCCGCAAGGCGAAGCUCAGAACUUAAGCGCCAGUAAACGGCGGUGGUAACUAUAACCAUCCUAAGGUAGCGAAAUUCCUUGUCGGGUAAGUUCCGACCUGCACGAAUGGCGUAACGACUUCUCCGCUGUCUCAACCGCGAACUCGGCGAAAUUGCAUUACGAGUAAAGAUGCUCGUUACGCGCAGCAGGACGGAAAGACCCCGGGACCUUUACUAUAGCUUGGUAUUGGUGUUCGGAACGGCUUGUGUAGGAUAGGUGGGAGACUGUGAAGUCGGCACGCUAGUGCUGGUGGAGUCAACGUUGAAAUACCACUCUGGUCGUUCUGGAUAUCUAACUUCGGUCCGUGAUCCGGAUCAGGAACAGUGCCUGGUGGGUAGUUUAACUGGGGCGGUUGCCUCCCAAAGAGUAACGGAGGCGCCCAAAGGUUCCCUCAGCCUGGUUGGCAAUCAGGUGUCGAGUGUAAGUGCACAAGGGAGCUUGACUGCGAGACAGACAUGUCAAGCAGGAACGAAAGUUGGGACUAGUGUCCCGGCCGUGGUGAGUGGAAACGCGGUCGAUUAACGGAUAAAAGGUACCCCGGGGAUAACAGGCUGAUCUUGCCCAAGAGUCCAUAUCGACGGCAUGGUUUGGCACCUCGAUGUCGGCUCGUCGCAUCCUGGGGCUGGAGUCGGUCCCAAGGGUUGGGCUGUUCGCCCAUUAAAGCGGUACGCGAGCUGGGUUUAGAACGUCGUGAGACAGUUCGGUCCCUAUCCGCUGCGCGCGCAGGAAACUUGAGAAGGGCUGUCCUUAGUACGAGAGGACCGGGACGGACGAACCUCUGGUGUGCCAGUUGUUCCGCCAGGAGCAUGGCUGGUUGGCUACGUUCGGAAGGGAUAACCGCUGAAGGCAUCUAAGCGGGAAGCUCGCUUCAAGAUGAGGUUUCCAUGGGGUGUUCCCCGAGAGGCUCCCAGCUAGACUAC